AAUGCAAGUAGAUUAAAUGAUCCUACUCUUUAUUCUUAAUCAUUCUUUACUCUUAGCCACUCAUUAUCGCUAAUCAUUCUUUACUUUAUUAGCUAUUCUUUAACACUAGCCGUUCUUUACUACUCGUCAUUCUUUAUUCUUUGACAUUCUUUAUUAUUAUUAGCCACUCUUUAUGCUCUAUCAUUCUUUCCUAAGGUUACUUUACCUUAGCCAACUAUGCCACUCGACUCGGUCUUGAGUCAAUCAUCUGCGGAUAAUCCGCGCUCUGUC
RNAcentral lists this long non-coding RNA (270 nucleotides) under Ananas comosus (pineapple). RNAcentral's name for it is "long non-coding RNA (ACOM_LNC017671)". The record is from RNAcentral. Lineage: Eukaryota; Viridiplantae; Streptophyta; Magnoliopsida; Poales; Bromeliaceae.